Molecule: unclassified non-coding RNA, 200 nt
Filed under: soil metagenome
Description: partial contains internal transcribed spacer 2 and large subunit ribosomal RNA
Source: RNAcentral
UUUCAGGUUGCCGGUCAGCUGAAAUACAUUCGCGCUUUGGGGGCUGCUUUCCUUUCAGGAAAGGCGAGUUCCGACUUGGUAGGUGACUUUCGCCGGUUACAUGCCUUCGUUGCCCGCUAAGCUUCCCAGCAUGCGGUGUGCAGGACGCUAUACCUUUGGCUUUCGACCUGAGGUCAGGCAAGAACACCCGCUGAACUUAA